GACCGCGUAGCUCAGUUGGCAGAGCGUUGGGCUAGUAUUCCAAAGGUCGUAGGUUCGAAUCCCACCGUGGCCA
This 73-nucleotide transfer RNA is filed under the name Paramuricea clavata. It matches the Rfam family "tRNA". From Rfam's summary of the family: Transfer RNA (tRNA) molecules are approximately 80 nucleotides in length. Their secondary structure includes four short double-helical elements and three loops (D, anti-codon, and T loops). Further hydrogen bonds mediate the characteristic L-shaped molecular structure. tRNAs have two regions of fundamental functional importance: the anti-codon, which is responsible for specific mRNA codon recognition, and the 3' end, to which the tRNAs corresponding amino acid is attached (by aminoacyl-tRNA synthetases). tRNAs cope with the degeneracy of the genetic code in two manners: having more than one tRNA (with a specific anti-codon) for a particular amino acid; and 'wobble' base-pairing, i.e. permitting non-standard base-pairing at the 3rd anti-codon position. The record is from Rfam by way of RNAcentral. Lineage: Eukaryota; Metazoa; Cnidaria; Anthozoa; Malacalcyonacea; Plexauridae.